UGGGGGAUAUUGCACAAUGGGCGAAAGCCUGAUGCAGCGACGCCGCGUGGGGGAUGAAGGCUUUCGGGUUGUAAACCUCUUUCGCUAUCGAACAAGGCCCGCUUAGGGUGGGUUGAGGGUAGGUGGAGAAGAAGCGCCGGCUAACUACGUGCCAGCAGCCGCGGUAAUACGUAGGGCGCGAGCGUUGUCCGGAAUUAUUGGGCGUAAAGGGCUUGUAGGCGGCUUGUUGCGCCUGCUGUGAAAACGCGGGGCUUAACUUCGCGCGUGCAGUGGGUACGGGCAGGCUUGAGUGUGGUAGGGGUGACUGGAAUUCCAGGUGUAGCGGUGGAAUGCGCAGAUAUCUGGAGGAACACCGAUGGCGAAGGCAGGUCACUGGGCCAUCACUGACGCUGAGGAGCGAAAGCAUGGGUAGCGAACAGG
RNAcentral lists this ribosomal RNA (420 nucleotides) under bacterium. RNAcentral's name for it is "partial 16S ribosomal RNA". It matches the Rfam family "Bacterial small subunit ribosomal RNA", at positions 355 to 776 of the family's 1533-position model. The record is from RNAcentral.